CCAGGGCCGUUUCUGGAGGUGAUGAUGCGGAUGAUCUGUUAUUGAGGUGGGACUGCAACUCCUGACCCUGCAUCAGGCUGCCUGCCUCUCUGAGACAGAUCAGUCAGUCUGUCCUCCACACAGAGACCAGAGUCUGAAGAAUGUGGAACAUCUGGACAUUCUGCAGAACAUCUCAUGGGUCCACGAAAGCAUAAGAUCAUGUUGAUUACACUGGGUUGAGCGAGAAAUGUGCAGCUCUACUUCCUUCCCUGCCUCACAAGUGUUGGGUCCACAGUGCAGGCUGCAGUAAGCCUCCUGCAUGCAAAUAUCCCAGAGCCCUCUCAUGGGAAAUCCAAGCCCAAGAUUAUGACUAAGAUAAGAUCUUCAAAUAAUGAGAGAGAGUCAGCAGGUAAUAUCAACCAGAGAAGUAGAGGAUGGAAGAUUCUGAUGACUCAAAGUUCUGAGCUGGUAUUCGCAGGAGGGAGGAAAGAGGAAGAAUGGUCUGCAAGGGGCAACGAGAGCCAACAACCACCUACAAGCCCAGCUGCACAGAGUGCGGGCAGGAAAGCAGCCUUCACUUGAGAGCGCCAAAGCAGAAGCAGAGUCCUGAGGGGACCGCCACCUUUGGGUGAGGGAAAUGUUCAGAGAAGAUUGAGAUUUCCUGAUGACAGAGCAUGAGUUUCCGAGAACUUGCAGGAAGAGGAGUGAGAUCAAAUCUGAAAGGAGAAUAUGCCAAAUUGCUUGGAGAGUGCAUGGGAGCAUAGAUCACCUGGUAUUCUGGACUCCUCCUGUCACUAAAGGAAGCAGGGGUAAAGAACAGAAUGAAAUUAGCCUUGGGAUUGUCAGAGCAGGGCAGGCCCGAGAGGCUCUGCCUGUGGGUAGGAAGGACAGGGGAGGGCGUUGGCAGGCAUGUUGGGGUCCCAUUUCCUUCCAGCAGAGUUGAUGUAAGUCUGGGAUGGAAUGGAAUGGAAUGGAAUGG
Lutra lutra (Eurasian river otter) is the source of this 958-nucleotide long non-coding RNA. RefSeq lists it as uncharacterized. The record is from RefSeq and is a predicted model, not a curated record. The transcript is spliced from 3 exons. NCBI's taxonomy places the organism in Eukaryota, Metazoa, Chordata, Mammalia, Carnivora, Mustelidae.